RNAcentral lists this ribosomal RNA (497 nucleotides) under uncultured bacterium. RNAcentral describes it as "partial 16S ribosomal RNA". It matches the Rfam family "Bacterial small subunit ribosomal RNA", at positions 28 to 507 of the family's 1533-position model. The record is from RNAcentral.
GACGAACGCUGGCGGCGUGCCUAAUACAUGCAAGUUGAGCGCUGAAGGUUGGUACUUGUACCAACUGGAUGAGCAGCGAACGGGUGAGUAACGCGUGGGGAAUCUGCCUUUGAGCGGGGGACAACAUUUGGAAACGAAUGCUAAUACCGCAUAAAAACUUUAAACACAAGUUUUAAGUUUGAAAGAUGCAAUUGCAUCACUCAAAGAUGAUCCCGCGUUGUAUUAGCUAGUUGGUGAGGUAAAGGCUCACCAAGGCGAUGAUACAUAGCCGACCUGAGAGGGUGAUCGGCCACAUUGGGACUGAGACACGGCCCAAACGGCUACGGGAGGCAGCAGUAGGGAAUCUUCGGCAAUGGACGAAAGACUGACCGAGCAACGCCGAGUGAGUGAAGAAGGUUUUCGGGUCGUAAAACUCUGUUGGUAGAGAGGAACGUUGGUGAGAGUGGAAAGCACAUCAAGUGACGGUAACUACCCAGAAAGGGACGGCUAACUACGUG